RNAcentral lists this ribosomal RNA (502 nucleotides) under uncultured bacterium. RNAcentral describes it as "partial 16S ribosomal RNA". It matches the Rfam family "Bacterial small subunit ribosomal RNA", at positions 28 to 507 of the family's 1533-position model. The record is from RNAcentral.
GAUUAACGCUGGCGGCGUGCCUAACACAUGCAAGUCGAGCGGCAGCGCGUUUUACACUGAAUUCUGGAAGCUUCUAGUUGAAAGAGAAGAUUUAUUCAAGAAUUUUGUGUAAAAUGUCGGCGAGCGGCGGACGGCUGAGUAACGCGUGGGAACGUACCCCAAAGUGAGGGAUAACGCAUCGAAAGGUGUGCUAAUACCGCAUAUGGUCUUCGGAUUAAAGCCUUCGGGCGCUUUGGGAACGGCCUGCGUAAGAUUAGAUAGUUGGUGGGGUAAUGGCCUACCAAGUCGACGAUCUUUAACUGGUUUGAGAGGAUGAUCAGUCAGACUGGAACUGAGACACGGUCCAGACUCCUACGGGAAGCAGCAGUGAGGAAUCUUCCACAAUGGGCGAAAGCCUGAUGGAGCAACGCCGCGUGCAGGAUGAAGGCCUUCGGGUUGUAAACUGCUUUUAUAAGUGAGGAUUAUGACAGUAACUUAUGAAUAAGGAUCGGCUAACUACGUG